UACGGAGGAUGCGAGCGUUAUCCGGAUUUAUUGGGUUUAAAGGGUGCGCGGGCGGCACGGCAAGCCGGCGGUCAAAUCGCGGGGCUCAACCCCGCCCAGCCGUCGGAACUGCCGGGCUAGAGUGGGCGAGAAGUGCGCGGAAUGCGUGGUGUAGCGGUGAAAUGCAUAGAUAUCACGCAGAACUCCGAUUGCGAAGGCAGCGCACCGGCGCCCUACUGACGCUCAGGCACGAAAGCGUGGGGAGCAAAUAGG
This 252-nucleotide ribosomal RNA is filed under the name uncultured bacterium. RNAcentral describes it as "partial 16S ribosomal RNA". It matches the Rfam family "Bacterial small subunit ribosomal RNA", at positions 524 to 776 of the family's 1533-position model. The record is from RNAcentral.